Molecule: ribosomal RNA, 628 nt
Filed under: uncultured bacterium
Lineage: Bacteria
Description: bacterial SSU rRNA
Rfam family: Bacterial small subunit ribosomal RNA
Source: RNAcentral
CCUACGGGAGGCAGCAGUGGGGAAUUUUGGACAAUGGGCGAAAGCCUGAUCCAGCAAUGCCGCGUGAGUGAAGAAGGCCUUCGGGUUGUAAAGCUCUUUUGUCAGGGAAGAAACGGUGGGUUCUAAUACAGCCUGCUAAUGACGGUACCUGAAGAAUAAGCACCGGCUAACUACGUGCCAGCAGCCGCGGUAAUACGUAGGGUGCAAGCGUUAAUCGGAAUUACUGGGCGUAAAGCGUGCGCAGGCGGUUCUGUAAGUCUGUCGUGAAAUCCCCGGGCUCAACCUGGGAAUGGCGAUGGAGACUGCAAGGCUAGAGUUUGGCAGAGGGGGGUAGAAUUCCACGUGUAGCAGUGAAAUGCGUAGAUAUGUGGAGGAACACCGAUGGCGAAGGCAGCCCCCUGGGUCAAGACUGACGCUCAUGCACGAAAGCGUGGGGAGCAAACAGGAUUAGAUACCCUGGUAGUCCACGCCCUAAACGAUGUCUACUAGUUGUCGGGUCUUAAUUGACUUGGUAACGCAGCUAACGCGUGAAGUAGACCGCCUGGGGAGUACGGUCGCAAGAUUAAAACCUUAAAUGAAAUUUGGUACGCGUGAGACGUAGACCGACGGACGACGACGAGGGAGGAGG